Molecule: ribosomal RNA, 486 nt
Filed under: uncultured bacterium
Lineage: Bacteria
Description: partial 16S ribosomal RNA
Rfam family: Bacterial small subunit ribosomal RNA
Source: RNAcentral
AUUGAACGCUGGCGGCAUGCCUUACACAUGCAAGUCGAACGGCAGCACGGGUGCUUGCACCUGGUGGCGAGUGGCGAACGGGGGUGUAAUACAUCGGAACAUGUCCUGUAGUGGGGGAUAGUCCGGCGAAAGCCGGAUUAAUACCGCAUACGAACUACGGAUGAAAGCGGGGGCCCUUCGGGCCUCGCGCUAUAGGGUUGGCCGAUGGCUGAUUAGCUAGUUGGUGGGGUAAUGGCCUACCAAGGCGACGAUCAGUAGCUGGUCUGAGAGGACGACCAGCCACACUGGGACUGAGACACGGCCCAGACUCCUACGGGAGGCAGCAGUAGGGAAUUUUGGACAAUGGGCGAAAGCCUGAUCCAGCAAUGCCGCGUGUGUGAAGAAGGCCUUCGGGUUGUAAAACACUUUUGUCCGGAAAGAAAUCCUUGGCUCUAAUCCAGUCAGGGGAUGACGGUACCGGAAGAGUAAGCACCGGCUAACUACGUG